UACGGGGGGAGCAAGCGUUGUUCGGAAUUACUGGGUGUAAAGGGUUCGUAGGCGGUGUGGCAAGUCGGGAGUGAAAUCUCUGGGCUCAACUCAGAGACUGCUUCCGAAACUGCCCGGCUAGAGUGUUGGAGGGGGGACUGGAAUUCUCGGUGUAGCAGUGAAAUGCGUAGAUAUCGAGAGGAACACCAGUGGCGAAGGCGAGUCCCUGGACAACUACUGACACUGAGGCACGAAAGCUAGGGGAGCAAACAGG
This 253-nucleotide ribosomal RNA is filed under the name uncultured bacterium. Its description in RNAcentral is "partial 16S ribosomal RNA". It matches the Rfam family "Bacterial small subunit ribosomal RNA", at positions 524 to 776 of the family's 1533-position model. The record is from RNAcentral.